Molecule: ribosomal RNA, 254 nt
Filed under: uncultured bacterium
Lineage: Bacteria
Description: partial 16S ribosomal RNA
Rfam family: Bacterial small subunit ribosomal RNA
Source: RNAcentral
UACGGAGGGUGCGAGCGUUGUCCGGAAUCAUUGGGCGUAAAGGGCGCGUAGGUGGCCCGGUCAGUUCGUGGUGAAAGCGCGGGGCUCAACCCUGCGUCGGCCAUGAAUACUGCCGCGGCUGGAGCACUGUAGAGGCAGGCGGAAUUCCGGGUGUAGCGGUGGAAUGCGUAGAGAUCCGGAAGAACACCGGUGGCGAAGGCGGCCGGCUGGACCUGUCCUGACGCUGAGGCGCGAAGGCGUGGGGAGCGAACGGG